RNAcentral lists this ribosomal RNA (406 nucleotides) under uncultured bacterium. RNAcentral's name for it is "partial 16S ribosomal RNA". It matches the Rfam family "Bacterial small subunit ribosomal RNA", at positions 29 to 526 of the family's 1533-position model. The record is from RNAcentral.
AUUGAACGCUGGCGGCAGGCCUAACACAUGCAAGUCGAACGAGUGGCGGACGGGUGAGUAAUGUCUGGGAAACUGCCCGAUGGAGGGGGAAAACUACUGGAAACGGUAGCUAAUACCGCAUACCAUCGGAUGAACCCAGAUGGGAUUAGCUAGUAGGUGGGGUAAUGGCGCACCUAGGCGACGAUCCCUAGCUGGUCUGAGAGGAUGAACAGCCACACUGGAACGGAGAAACGGCCCAGACUCCUACGGGAGGCAGCAGUGGGGAAUAUUGCACAAUGGGCGCAAGCCGGAUGCAGCCAUGCCGCGUGUAUGAAGAAGGCCUUCGGGUUGUAAAGUACUUUCAGCGAGGAGGCGUUACUCGCAGAAGAAGCACCGGCUAACUCCGUGCCAGCAGCCGCGGUAAUAC